RNAcentral lists this ribosomal RNA (477 nucleotides) under uncultured bacterium. RNAcentral's name for it is "partial 16S ribosomal RNA". It matches the Rfam family "Bacterial small subunit ribosomal RNA", at positions 29 to 523 of the family's 1533-position model. The record is from RNAcentral.
AACAAACGCUGGCGGCGUGCCUAAUACAUGCAAGUCGAACGGGGAAAGCUUUCGGGCGAGUACUAGUGGCGCACGGGUGAGGAACACGUGGAUAAUCUGCCUUGGAGAGGGGGAUAACUAGUCGAAAGAUUAGCUAAUACCGCAUAAGACCACAGGAACUGAGGUUCUAGGGGUCAAAGGUUUUUCGCUCCAAGAUGAGUCCGCGUAAGAUUAGCUAGUUGGUGAGGUAAUGGCUCACCAAGGCGACGAUCUUUAACUGGUCUGAGAGGAUGAUCAGUCACACUGGAACUGAGACACGGUCCAGACUCCUACGGGAGGCAGCAGUAGGGAAUAUUGCACAAUGGAGGAAACUCUGAUGCAGCGACGCCGCGUGAGUGAUGAAGGCCUUCGGGUCGUAAAGCUCUGUCGCAGGGGAAUAAAAAAUGAAGGUACCCUGCAAGAAAGGAUCGGCUAACUUCGUGCCAGCAGCCGCAGUAA